RNAcentral lists this ribosomal RNA (414 nucleotides) under uncultured bacterium. Its description in RNAcentral is "bacterial SSU rRNA". It matches the Rfam family "Bacterial small subunit ribosomal RNA", at positions 355 to 786 of the family's 1533-position model. The record is from RNAcentral.
UGGGGGAUAUUGCACAAUGGGGGAAACCCUGAUGCAGCGACGCCGCGUGAGCGAAGAAGUAUUUCGGUAUGUAAAGCUCUAUCAGCAGGGAAGAAAAUGACAGUACCUGAGUAAGAAGCCCCGGCUAACUACGUGCCAGCAGCCGCGGUAAUACGUAGGGGGCAAGCGUUAUCCGGAUUUACUGGGUGUAAAGGGAGCGUAGACGGCGAUGCAAGUCUGGAGUGAAAGCCCGGGGCCCAACCCCGGGACUGCUUUGGAAACUGUGUAGCUGGAGUACAGGAGGGGCAGGCGGAAUUCCUGGUGUAGCGGUGAAAUGCGUAGAUAUCAGGAGGAACACCGGCGGCGAAGGCGGCCUGCUGGACUGAAACUGACGUUGAGGCUCGAAAGCGUGGGGAGCAAACAGGAUUAGAUACC